RNAcentral lists this ribosomal RNA (245 nucleotides) under uncultured bacterium. RNAcentral describes it as "partial small subunit ribosomal RNA". It matches the Rfam family "Bacterial small subunit ribosomal RNA", at positions 26 to 285 of the family's 1533-position model. The record is from RNAcentral.
AGAAUCAACGCUGGCGGCGUGCCUAACACAUGCAAGUCGCACGAGAAAGGGUAGCAAUACCUGAGUACAGUGGCGCACGGGUAAGUAACACGUGAAUUAUCUACCUCCGAGUGGGGAAUAACUGAGAGAAAUCUUAGCUAAUACCGCAUAACACUUACGAGUCAAAGCAGCAAUGCGCUUGGAGAGGAGUUCGCGGCAGAUUAGUUAGUUGGCGGGGUAAUGGCCCACCAAGACGAUGAUCUGUA